CUGCUCCAAAUGAAAUCAAUGGUAAUUGCAGCUGCUCAGAACAGAUGUAAAUUAGAGCACCACAAUAGCAUCUUCCCCAGUACAUCCAAUUAUUGCUGAAGGAAAUACAUGGGAGACAACAAUGUCUGGCAGGGAGAGGACUUUAUUGGGAGUAAAAUGAAUCCUGGGCCAGAUUUCACUUUUUGCAUGUAAAAGGGCAGCCCAAGUUGACAUUUUUUGACUGCCUAUUCUGGCUGCGUGGGCUAGUGAGAACAAGGAUUGGAAAAAACAGAAAUAGAAAGAAGCUGCCCUCAGCAAGUUCAGCUCCCUGUACGGCUGCAGGCCACGCUCUGAGUGCUGCAGUGGGUUUCUGACAUACAGAAUAGAAAGAAGAUGGAAGAAAAGGAAGAAAAUAAGACUAAUUACACGUUGUGGGCGUAAAUGAACUGGUUCUUG
This is a non-coding RNA of Cyanistes caeruleus (blue tit), 435 nucleotides long. The record is from RefSeq and is a predicted model, not a curated record. Lineage: Eukaryota; Metazoa; Chordata; Aves; Passeriformes; Paridae.